GCAAGUCGUACGCUUCUUUUUCCACCGGAGCUUGCUCCACCGGAAAAAGAAGAGUGGCGAACGGGUGAGUAACACGUGGGUAACCUGCCCAUCAGAAGGGGAUAACACUUGGAAACAGGUGCUAAUACCGUAUAACAAUCGAAACCGCAUGGUUUUGAUUUGAAAGGCGCUUUCGGGUGUCGCUGAUGGAUGGACCCGCGGUGCAUUAGCUAGUUGGUGAGGUAACGGCUCACCAAGGCCACGAUGCAUAGCCGACCUGAGAGGGUGAUCGGCCACAUUGGGACUGAGACACGGCCCAAACUCCUACGGGAGGCAGCAGUAGGGAAUCUUCGGCAAUGGACGAAAGUCUGACCGAGCAACGCCGCGUGAGUGAAGAAGGUUUUCGGAUCGUAAAACUCUGUUGUUAGAGAAGAACAAGGAUGAGAGUAACUGUUCAUCCCUUGACGGUAUCUAACCAGAAAGCCACGGCUAACUACGUGCCAGCAGCCGCGGUAAUACGUAGGUGGCAAGCGUUGUCCGGAUUUAUUGGGCGUAAAGCGAGCGCAGGCGGUUUCUUAAGUCUGAUGUGAAAGCCCCCGGCUCAACCGGGGAGGGUCAUUGGAAACUGGGAGACUUGAGUGCAGAAGAGGAGAGUGGAAUUCCAUGUGUAGCGGUGAAAUGCGUAGAUAUAUGGAGGAACACCAGUGGCGAAGGCGGCUCUCUGGUCUGUAACUGACGCUGAGGCUCGAAAGCGUGGGGAGCAAACAGGAUUAGAUACCCUGGUAGUCCACGCCGUAAACGAUGAGUGCUAAGUGUUGGAGGGUUUCCGCCCUUCAGUGCUGCAGCUAACGCAUUAAGCACUCCGCCUGGGGAGUACGACCGCAAGGUUGAAACUCAAAGGAAUUGACGGGGGCCCGCACAAGCGGUGGAGCAUGUGGUUUAAUUCGAAGCAACGCGAAGAACCUUACCAGGUCUUGACAUCCUUUGACCACUCUAGAGAUAGAGCUUCCCCUUCGGGGGCAAAGUGACAGGUGGUGCAUGGUUGUCGUCAGCUCGUGUCGUGAGAUGUUGGGUUAAGUCCCGCAACGAGCGCAACCCUUAUUGUUAGUUGCCAUCAUUUAGUUGGGCACUCUAGCAAGACUGCCGGUGACAAACCGGAGGAAGGUGGGGAUGACGUCAAAUCAUCAUGCCCCUUAUGACCUGGGCUACACACGUGCUACAAUGGGAAGUACAACGAGUCGCGAAGUCGCGAGGCUAAGCUAAUCUCUUAAAGCUUCUCUCAGUUCGGAUUGUAGGCUGCAACUCGCCUACAUGAAGCCGGAAUCGCUAGUAAUCGCGGAUCAGCACGCCGCGGUGAAUACGUUCCCGGGCCUUGUACACACCGCCCGUCACACCACGAGAGUUUGUAACACCCGAAGUCGGUGAGGUAACCUUUUGGAGCCAGCCGCCUAAGGUGGGAUAGAUGAUUGGGGUGAAGUCGUAACA
RNAcentral lists this ribosomal RNA (1464 nucleotides) under Enterococcus durans. RNAcentral describes it as "bacterial SSU rRNA". It matches the Rfam family "Bacterial small subunit ribosomal RNA". The record is from RNAcentral. Lineage: Bacteria; Bacillati; Bacillota; Bacilli; Lactobacillales; Enterococcaceae.